UGCAGCACUUCUUAAUCCAUUUAUGUAAUCCUCUCUGCUUUGCUUGCAGUUAUUUUCAGGGUUUUAGCAGCAAUGAAAUGGUUCCUUUCCCAAGACAGAGUUCAUUUAAUUUAAAACUGGAUUGAUUAUAGCUAAACUUAUGAUAUGUCUUUGCGAAGGAAGAAAAAAACAGCCAUCAAUUAUGCACAGCAAUUAUUUAGCAUUUAUGCAGCUCCCACAGUGUCCUGGGCUCAGCAUGUAAGAGGUGGGGUAAAAUCCAUGCCCUUGAGAAUCAAAGGCAUGCAGGGCAGAGCAUGAGUCCGCUUGCCAUUUAAUUCCUUAUUCAAGGGGGUCAUCGACCAUAUGGCCAGCAUUUUAGCUGACUUCAUGGGGUUAAGUGGAAUCUUCAUCCAUUUGUGCCUUCUUUCAUUUCUGUCUCAUUCAGAUGCAUUCUACUGAUAGCACCCUUCGCCUUUGACCUCUAUCCCAAAAGAAUACUCCUUACUACUCCUCAAGCAGUUUUGGUUU
This 507-nucleotide long non-coding RNA is filed under the name Bos taurus (domestic cattle). RNAcentral's name for it is "long non-coding RNA NONBTAT006663". The record is from RNAcentral. Lineage: Eukaryota; Metazoa; Chordata; Mammalia; Artiodactyla; Bovidae.